This is a long non-coding RNA of Salvelinus fontinalis (brook trout), 1583 nucleotides long. RefSeq lists it as uncharacterized. The record is from RefSeq and is a predicted model, not a curated record. Lineage: Eukaryota; Metazoa; Chordata; Actinopteri; Salmoniformes; Salmonidae. The transcript has 2 exons.
AUGGCUGCUACCUACAUUCCGGUUAACGUAUUCUGGGUUUAAACAAAAUAAACACGGAAUACGUUGAUUCACACCAAAAGCCGGGACUCCACAGAUCAUGAGGAUGUCUUAUUUGUCUGCCUGUGACCUACCGUUAUUGAUCACCAGCCCUGAGAGUCAAAAUGUUUAUUUUACACAACGUUUUCACCAAACAGCAAAUAUCUUACAAGUAGCGUUGGUCGUCCAGGGACACGGCCACAGCCGGACUGAACAGACUCAGUUUAAUAACAGCGACAGCAUCUCCAGAGGUGUUCUUUGACUGGCUCGCCACACAUUUGAGGUCCUUGUCAAAAGACAACAUCCUUUUUCUCUGCCUCCCGGAGGAGUCCAGAGAGUGCCACCAAGGCCGCAGAGUGUCCUGUGCUUUCCAGAAGUCGAGGACACAAUCAAUAGCUUACUAGAGUGGAACCAUAGUGGGCUGGGCUGUGAGCUUCCAUUUGUCACCUUGUCACGGUGAAACCCAGCUAAUGUUCCCCCAUGUUUUUGUGUGCUGGAUUGAUAUCUGUUGCGCUUUAAGGCUGUUGUCAUAGUUAACCCACCAGGUUUGUCGAUAGAGAGAAUAUACCGGCAGCCCAGUUGGCUGUACCAGACCAGCUUGUAACUAUUGUAUAGAGAUCAACUUGUAGCUAUUGCGGCUAUUGCAUAAAGCUUCUAGUUGGCUGAUCAACAAUUUUUUAUUUAAAUAUCAUGUUUGGAAAUCCUUAUGUACGUCACUCAUUGAAUAUUGUUUUGGUGCAGAGAUCUUAGAUUGAAAUGAUGUACUGUAACUUUCUAUCUAUUCUCAAAAUGUACAGAAAACAUUUAUUUCACAAUACUAAACAUUAACGCAUGAUCAAACAGAGAGAUGCUGAAACACAAUGGCAGCAUGGGAACCAUUCAUUAUUGUCUCACUCUCCAACUGUAUUUCAAAUGCUGAGAUAAGAGAUAAGCCCUUCACAGAGAUGAGAAGCAGGCCAGGGUAUUUUUACCCGAGGAUCCACUUCUGUCCACAGGCUCAGAUAAUGAAGAUGGCCCCGGAGCAAAGAUUACCACCGAUCCAUUCCAGCCCCCCUCAUCUUUCACAGCACUUUCUCUGGGCAGAAGCUACUUUGUUAAGUAGUUGUUAAGUGUGUUAUUCUUUGUACACACAAACAUUGCCCUGGUGAUGGUCCAUUCUGAGCGUGCCUGUCGUGUUCUGUGGGGGAUGACUGAAGGAGAACGUGUGGGAGGAGACCAGACCAGAACAGACAACAUAAUUCACCACUUUGAUCAGAAGGGAACAUUAACCUUCCCUCAAGAGGCCUUGUGUAUAUUACAACUAGAGCCCGUGUUCUCAUUAUGAACAUGUCUCUAUGACUAUGACUAAUUUAACCCUCAACAUGCCAACACACUUCAUGUUGGACAAGUGUGAACAGCUAGAGACACUUCUCAGUGUGAUGUGUAGUUAAGAUGACAGGCUCAGUUCAGUUGUGCUGUAGGUGGAACGGAUGUGUAAAUAUGCAUGCAUGAUGAAUGAAGAAGGUUCCCCUGUCUUGGCAUAUGACAAUAAACCCAUUUGAACAUUU